This 512-nucleotide ribosomal RNA is filed under the name uncultured bacterium. Its description in RNAcentral is "bacterial SSU rRNA". It matches the Rfam family "Bacterial small subunit ribosomal RNA", at positions 36 to 507 of the family's 1533-position model. The record is from RNAcentral.
CUGGCGGCGUGCCUAAUACAUGCAAGUCGAACGCACUCUCGUUUAGAUUGAAGGAGCUUGCUCCUGAUUGAUAAACAUUUGAGUGAGUGGCGGACGGGUGAGUAACACGUGGGUAACCUGCCCUAAAGUGGGGGAUAACAUUUGGAAACAGAUGCUAAUACCGCAUAAAACCUAACACCGCAUGGUGCAGGGUUGAAAGAUGGUUUCGGCUAUCACUUUAGGAUGGACCCGCGGUGCAUUAGUUAGUUGGUGAGGUAAAGGCUCACCAAGACCGUGAUGCAUAGCCGACCUGAGAGGGUAAUCGGCCACACUGGGACUGAGACACGGCCCAGACUCCUACGGGAGGCAGCAGUAGGGAAUCUUCCACAAUGGACGAAAGUCUGAUGGAGCAACGCCGCGUGAGUGAAGAAGGUUUUCGGAUCGUAAAACUCUGUUGUUGGAGAAGAAUGUAUCUGAUAGUAACUGAUCAGGUAGUGACGGUAUCCAACCAGAAAGCCACGGCUAACUACGUG